AUACGUAGGGUGCAAGCGUUAAUCGGAAUUACUGGGCGUAAAGCGUGCGCAGGCGGUUUUGGAAGACAGAGGUGAAGGCCCCGGGCUCAACCUGGGAACUGCCUUUGUGACUGCAAGGCUAGAGUACGGCAGAGGGGGAUGGAAUUCCGCGUGUAGCAGUGAAAUGCGUAGAUAUGCGGAGGAACACCGAUGGCGAAGGCAAUCCCCUGGGCCUGUACUGACGCUCAUGCACGAAAGCGGGGGGAGCAAACAGGAUUAGAUACCCUGGUAGUCCACGCCCUAAACGAUGUCAACUGGUUGUUGGGUCUUCAUUGACUCAGUAACGAAGCUAACGCGUGAAGUUGACCGCCUGGGGAGUACGGCCGCAAGGUUGAAACUCAAAUGAAUUGGCGGGG
This 395-nucleotide ribosomal RNA is filed under the name uncultured bacterium. RNAcentral's name for it is "partial 16S ribosomal RNA". It matches the Rfam family "Bacterial small subunit ribosomal RNA", at positions 523 to 918 of the family's 1533-position model. The record is from RNAcentral.